UCACUUUGAACAACGGAUCUCUUGGUUCUCGCAUCGAUGAAGAACGCAGCGAAAUGCGAUAUGUAGUGUGAAUUGCAGAGGUAUGUGAAUCAUUCGAAUCUUUGAACGCAAAUUGCACUCUUCGGUAUUCCGAGGAGUAUGCCUGUUUGAGGGUCGCUU
Molecule: ribosomal RNA, 159 nt
Filed under: Glomus sp. 'Bad Sachsa'
Lineage: Eukaryota; Fungi; Glomeromycota; Glomeromycetes; Glomerales; Glomeraceae
Description: 5.8S ribosomal RNA
Rfam family: 5.8S ribosomal RNA
About the family: 5.8S ribosomal RNA (5.8S rRNA) is a component of the large subunit of the eukaryotic ribosome. It is transcribed by RNA polymerase I as part of the 45S precursor that also contains 18S and 28S rRNA.
Source: RNAcentral